AGAGUUUGAUCCUGGCUCAGGACGAACGCUGGCGGCGUGCUUAACACAUGCAAGUCGAACGAUGAAGUUCCUUCGGGAAUGGAUUAGUGGCGAACGGGUGAGGAACACGUGAGAAACCUGCCUUUCAUUUUGGGAUAACUCCGGGAAACCGGGGCUAAAACCGAAUACUCCGUCUUGGCGGCAUCGCUAAGCCGGGAAAAAAUUUUGAUGAAAGAUGGUCUCGCGGCCUAUCAGCUAGUUGGUGAGGUAAUGGCUCACCAAGGCGACGACGGGUAGCCGGCCUGAGAGGGCGACCGGCCACACUGGGACUGAGACACGGCCCAGACUCCUACGGGAGGCAGCAGUGGGGAAUAUUGGGCAAUGGGCGCAAGCCUGACCCAGCGACGCCGCGUGAGGGAUGAAGGCCUUCGGGUUGUAAACCUCUUUCAGUAGGGAAGAAGCGAAAGUGACGGUACCUAAAGAAGAAGCACCGGCUAACUAUGUGCCAGCAGCCGCGGUAAUACAUAGGGUGCAAGCGUUGUCCGGAAUUAUUGGGCGUAAAGAGCUCGUAGGUCGUUUGCCGCGUCGAUUGUGAAAAUCUGAGGCUCAACCUCAGACCUGCAGUCGAUACGGGCAAACUAGAGUGUGGUAGGGGAGACUGGAAUUCCUGGUGUAGCGGUGGAAUGCGCAGAUAUCAGGAGGAACACCAAUGGCGAAGGCAGGUCUCUGGGCCAUAACUGACACUGAGGAGCGAAAGCGCGGGGAGCGAACAGGAUUAGAUACCCUGGUAGUCCGCGCCGUAAACGAUGGGCACUAGCUGUGAGAGCCUUCCACGGUUCUCGCGACGCAGCAAACGCAUUAAGUGCCCCGCCUGGGGAGUACGAUCGCAAGAUUAAAACUCAAAGGAAUUGACGG
RNAcentral lists this ribosomal RNA (894 nucleotides) under uncultured marine bacterium. RNAcentral describes it as "bacterial SSU rRNA". It matches the Rfam family "Bacterial small subunit ribosomal RNA", at positions 8 to 916 of the family's 1533-position model. The record is from RNAcentral.